Molecule: ribosomal RNA, 2902 nt
Filed under: Escherichia coli
Lineage: Bacteria; Pseudomonadati; Pseudomonadota; Gammaproteobacteria; Enterobacterales; Enterobacteriaceae
Description: bacterial LSU rRNA
Rfam family: Bacterial large subunit ribosomal RNA
Source: RNAcentral
UUAAGCGACUAAGCGUACACGGUGGAUGCCCUGGCAGUCAGAGGCGAUGAAGGACGUGCUAAUCUGCGAUAAGCGUCGGUGAGGUGAUAUGAACCGUUAUAACCGGCGAUUUCCGAAUGGGGAAACCCAGUGUGUUUCGACACACUAUCAUUAACUGAAUCCAUAGGUUAAUGAGGCGAACCGGGGGAACUGAAACAUCUAAGUACCCCGAGGAAAAGAAAUCAACCGAGAUUCCCCCAGUAGCGGCGAGCGAACGGGGAGGAGCCCAGAGCCUGAAUCAGUGUGUGUGUUAGUGGAAGCGUCUGGAAAGGCGUGCGAUACAGGGUGACAGCCCCGUACACAAAAAUGCACAUAUUGUGAGCUCGAUGAGUAGGGCGGGACACGUGGUAUCCUGUCUGAAUAUGGGGGGACCAUCCUCCAAGGCUAAAUACUCCUGACUGACCGAUAGUGAACCAGUACCGUGAGGGAAAGGCGAAAAGAACCCCGGCGAGGGGAGUGAAAAAGAACCUGAAACCGUGUACGUACAAGCAGUGGGAGCCUCUUAAUGGGGGGACUGCGUACCUUUUGUAUAAUGGGUCAGCGACUUAUAUUCUGUAGCAAGGUUAACCGAAUAGGGGAGCCGAAGGGAAACCGAGUCUUAACUGGGCGUUAAGUUGCAGGGUAUAGACCCGAAACCCGGUGAUCUAGCCAUGGGCAGGUUGAAGGUUGGGUAACACUAACUGGAGGACCGAACCGACUAAUGUUGAAAAAUUAGCGGAUGACUUGUGGCUGGGGGUGAAAGGCCAAUCAAACCGGGAGAUAGCUGGUUCUCCCCGAAAGCUAUUUAGGUAGCGCCUCGUGAAUUCAUCUCCGGGGGUAGAGCACUGUUUCGGCAAGGGGGUCAUCCCGACUUACCAACCCGAUGCAAACUGCGAAUACCGGAGAAUGUUAUCACGGGAGACACACGGCGGGUGCUAACGUCCGUCGUGAAGAGGGAAACAACCCAGACCGCCAGCUAAGGUCCCAAAGUCAUGGUUAAGUGGGAAACGAUGUGGGAAGGCCCAGACAGCCAGGAUGUUGGCUUAGAAGCAGCCAUCAUUUAAAGAAAGCGUAAUAGCUCACUGGUCGAGUCGGCCUGCGCGGAAGAUGUAACGGGGCUAAACCAUGCACCGAAGCUGCGGCAGCGACACUAUGUGUUGUUGGGUAGGGGAGCGUUCUGUAAGCCUGUGAAGGUGGCCUGUGAGGGUUGCUGGAGGUAUCAGAAGUGCGAAUGCUGACAUAAGUAACGAUAAAGCGGGUGAAAAGCCCGCUCGCCGGAAGACCAAGGGUUCCUGUCCAACGUUAAUCGGGGCAGGGUGAGUCGACCCCUAAGGCGAGGCCGAAAGGCGUAGUCGAUGGGAAACAGGUUAAUAUUCCUGUACUUGGUGUUACUGCGAAGGGGGGACGGAGAAGGCUAUGUUGGCCGGGCGACGGUUGUCCCGGUUUAAGCGUGUAGGCUGGUUUUCCAGGCAAAUCCGGAAAACCAAGGCUGAGGCGUGAUGACGAGGCACUACGGUGCUGAAGCGACAAAUGCCCUGCUUCCAGGAAAAGCCUCUAAGCAUCAGGUAACAUCAAAUCGUACCCCAAACCGACACAGGUGGUCAGGUAGAGAAUACCAAGGCGCUUGAGAGAACUCGGGUGAAGGAACUAGGCAAAAUGGUGCCGUAACUUCGGGAGAAGGCACGCUGAUAUGUAGGUGAAGCGACUUGCUCGUGGAGCUGAAAUCAGUCGAAGAUACCAGCUGGCUGCAACUGUUUAUUAAAAACACAGCACUGUGCAAACACGAAAGUGGACGUAUACGGUGUGACGCCUGCCCGGUGCCGGAAGGUUAAUUGAUGGGGUUAGCGGCAACGCGAAGCUCUUGAUCGAAGCCCCGGUAAACGGCGGCCGUAACUAUAACGGUCCUAAGGUAGCGAAAUUCCUUGUCGGGUAAGUUCCGACCUGCACGAAUGGCGUAAUGAUGGCCAGGCUGUCUCCACCCGAGACUCAGUGAAAUUGAACUCGCUGUGAAGAUGCAGUGUACCCGCGGCAAGACGGAAAGACCCCGUGAACCUUUACUAUAGCUUGACACUGAACAUUGAGCCUUGAUGUGUAGGAUAGGUGGGAGGCUUUGAAGUGUGGACGCCAGUCUGCAUGGAGCCGACCUUGAAAUACCACCCUUUAAUGUUUGAUGUUCUAACGUUGGCCCGUAAUCCGGGUUGCGGACAGUGUCUGGUGGGUAGUUUGACUGGGGCGGUCUCCUCCUAAAGAGUAACGGAGGAGCACGAAGGUUGGCUAAUCCUGGUCGGACAUCAGGAGGUUAGUGCAAUGGCAUAAGCCAGCUUGACUGCGAGCGUGACGACGCGAGCAGGUGCGAAAGCAGGUCAUAGUGAUCCGGUGGUUCUGAAUGGAAGGGCCAUCGCUCAACGGAUAAAAGGUACUCCGGGGAUAACAGGCUGAUACCGCCCAAGAGUUCAUAUCGACGGCGGUGUUUGGCACCUCGAUGUCGGCUCAUCACAUCCUGGGGCUGAAGUAGGUCCCAAGGGUAUGGCUGUUCGCCAUUUAAAGUGGUACGCGAGCUGGGUUUAGAACGUCGUGAGACAGUUCGGUCCCUAUCUGCCGUGGGCGCUGGAGAACUGAGGGGGGCUGCUCCUAGUACGAGAGGACCGGAGUGGACGCAUCACUGGUGUUCGGGUUGUCAUGCCAAUGGCACUGCCCGGUAGCUAAAUGCGGAAGAGAUAAGUGCUGAAAGCAUCUAAGCACGAAACUUGCCCCGAGAUGAGUUCUCCCUGACUCCUUGAGAGUCCUGAAGGAACGUUGAAGACGACGACGUUGAUAGGCCGGGUGUGUAAGCGCAGCGAUGCGUUGAGCUAACCGGUACUAAUGAACCGUGAGGCUUAACCUU